Molecule: ribosomal RNA, 501 nt
Filed under: uncultured bacterium
Lineage: Bacteria
Description: partial 16S ribosomal RNA
Rfam family: Bacterial small subunit ribosomal RNA
Source: RNAcentral
AUUGAACGCUGGCGGCAGGCUUAACACAUGCAAGUCGAGCGGGGGAAGGUAGCUUGCUACCGGACCCAGCGGCGGACGGGUGAGUAAUGCUUAGGAAUCUGCCUAUUAGUGGGGGACAGCAUCUCGAAAGGGAUGCUAAUACCGCAUACGUCCUACGGGAGAAAGCAGGGGAUCUUCGGACCUUGCGCUAAUAGAUGAGCCUAAGUCGGAUUAGCUAGUUGGUGGGGUAAAGGCCUACCAAGGCGACGAUCUGUAGCGGGUCUGAGAGGAUGAUCCGCCACACUGGGACUGAGACACGGCCCAGACUCCUACGGGAGGCAGCAGUGGGGAAUAUUGGACAAUGGGGGGAACCCUGAUCCAGCCAUGCCGCGUGUGUGAAGAAGGCCUUAUGGUUGUAAAGCACUUUAAGCGAGGAGGAGGCUACUCUAGUUAAUACCUAGGGAUAGUGGACGUUACUCGCAGAAUAAGCACCGGCUAACUCUGUGCCAGCCGCCGCGGUAA